Ribosomal RNA from Desulfonispora thiosulfatigenes DSM 11270, 280 nucleotides. It matches the Rfam family "Bacterial large subunit ribosomal RNA", at positions 2646 to 2925 of the family's 2925-position model. NCBI's taxonomy places the organism in Bacteria, Bacillati, Bacillota, Clostridia, Eubacteriales, Peptococcaceae. The record is from Rfam.
CGCAGGCGUAGGAAAUUUGAGAGGAUCUGACCCUAGUACGAGAGGACCGGGUUGGACAAACCGCUGGUGUACCAGUUGUCUCGCCAGAGGCAUAGCUGGGUAGCUACGUUUGGAAGUGAUAAGCGCUGAAAGCAUCUAAGCGCGAAGCCUACCUCAAGAUGAGAUUUCCCACAGCGUAAGCUGGUAAGACUCCAGAGAGAAUAUCUGGUAGAUAGGCUAGAAGUGUAAGUGCCGUGAGGUAUUUAGCGGACUAGUACUAAUAGGUCGAGGGCUUGACCUA